Molecule: ribosomal RNA, 41 nt
Filed under: Syncephalastrum racemosum
Lineage: Eukaryota; Fungi; Mucoromycota; Mucoromycetes; Mucorales; Syncephalastraceae
Description: partial 28S ribosomal RNA
Source: RNAcentral
CUCGUUGUCUGAGAUCAAGUAGGAUUACCCGCUGAACUUAA